UACGGAGGGUGCGAGCGUUGUCCGGAAUCAUUGGGCGUAAAGGGCGCGUAGGUGGCCCGGUCAGUCCGUGGUGAAAGCGCGGGGCUCAACCCCGCGUCGGCCAUGGAUACUGCUGGGCUGGAGCACUGUAGAGGCAGGCGGAAUUCCGGGUGUAGCGGUGGAAUGCGUAGGGAUCCGGAAGAACACCGGUGGCGAAGGCGGCCUGCUGGGCAGUUGCUGACACUGAGGCGCGACAGCGUGGGGAGCAAACAGG
This 253-nucleotide ribosomal RNA is filed under the name uncultured bacterium. RNAcentral describes it as "partial 16S ribosomal RNA". It matches the Rfam family "Bacterial small subunit ribosomal RNA", at positions 524 to 776 of the family's 1533-position model. The record is from RNAcentral.